RNAcentral lists this ribosomal RNA (440 nucleotides) under uncultured bacterium. Its description in RNAcentral is "partial 16S ribosomal RNA". It matches the Rfam family "Bacterial small subunit ribosomal RNA", at positions 338 to 795 of the family's 1533-position model. The record is from RNAcentral.
CCUACGGGAGGCAGCAGUGGGGGAUAUUGCACAAUGGGGGGAACCCUGAUGCAGCGACGCCGCGUGAGCGAUGAAGUAUUUCGGUAUGUAAAGCCCUAUCAGCAGGGAAGAAAAUGACGGUACCUGACUAAGAAGCGCCGGCUAACUACGUGCCAGCAGCCGCGGUAAUACGUAGGGGGCAAGCGUUAUCCGGAUUUACUGGGUGUAAAGGGAGCGUAGACGGCAUUGCAAGUCUGAAGUGAAAGGCAAGGGCCCAACCGUUGGACUGCUUUGGAAACUGUGCUGCUGGAGUGUCGGAGAGGUAAGUGGAAUUCCUAGUGUAGCGGUGAAAUGCGUAGAUAUUAGGAGGAACACCAGUGGCGAAGGCGGCUUACUGGACGAUGACUGACGUUGAGGCUCGAAAGCGUGGGGAGCAAACAGGAUUAGAUACCCCUGUAGUC